AAAAUCACAAUUAAUCAUGGAUUAAAGUAUUUUAGCUUAAGUAUUUUAUUAAUGGUAAGAUUAGCAUAAAUAUUUGUUUAAUUUGGUUUAAUUGAAAAACAGAUUAGUAAACGUGUGAUUAAUUAGGUUAUUUAGGCACUUGGAAUUUGUUAAUAGGUUGGUUUUAAGAAAAUAAAAACAAUUAGUGUUUGGUAAUUAAUUAGGGAAUAUUAAUAUGCAUUGUAAAUAUUGUUUAAUUUAAUUCAAAUUUGAUUUGAGAACUUGUAGGCAUGUAGAUUAGAGAAUAUUAUAAUUAAAAAAUUAGCAAAAUUAAAUUGUAUAAAUUUU
This 327-nucleotide long non-coding RNA is filed under the name Vitis vinifera (wine grape). RNAcentral describes it as "long non-coding RNA (VVIN_LNC007562)". Lineage: Eukaryota; Viridiplantae; Streptophyta; Magnoliopsida; Vitales; Vitaceae. The record is from RNAcentral.